Molecule: ribosomal RNA, 442 nt
Filed under: uncultured bacterium
Lineage: Bacteria
Description: bacterial SSU rRNA
Rfam family: Bacterial small subunit ribosomal RNA
Source: RNAcentral
UCCUGGCUCAGAAUGACGCUGGCGGCAGGCCCUAACACAUGCAAGUCGAACGAAGCCUUCGGGUUUAGUGGCGGACGGGUGAGUAACGCGUGGGAACGUGCCCUUCGGUUCGGAAUAGCCCUGGAAACUGGGAGUAAUACCGAAUGUGCCCUUCGGGGGAAAGAUUUAUCGCCAAAGGAUCGGCCCGCGUUGGAUUAGGUAGUUGGUGGGUAAUGGCCUACCAAGCCGACGAUCCAUAGCUGGUUUGAGAGGAUGAUCAGCCACACUGGGACUGAGACACGGCCCAGACUCCUACGGGAGGCAGCAGUGGGGAAUCUUAGACAAUGGGCGCAAGCCUGAUCUAGCCAUGCCGCGUGAGCGAUGAAGGCCUUAGGGUUGUAAAGCUCUUUCAGUGGGGAAGAUAAUGACUGUACCCACAGAAGAAGCCCCGGCUAACUCCGUG